Molecule: ribosomal RNA, 834 nt
Filed under: marine metagenome
Description: bacterial SSU rRNA
Rfam family: Bacterial small subunit ribosomal RNA
Source: RNAcentral
ACUCUGAUGCAGCGAUGCCGCGUGAGUGAAGAAGGCCCUUGGGUUGUAAAGCUCUUUCGUCGGGGAAGAAAAUGACUGUACCCGAAUAAGAAGGUCCGGCUAACUUCGUGCCAGCAGCCGCGGUAAUACGAAGGGACCUAGCGUAGUUCGGAAUUACUGGGCUUAAAGAGUUCGUAGGUGGUUGAAAUAGUUGGUGGUGAAAUCCCAGAGCUUAACUCUGGAACUGCCAUCAAAACUUUUCAGCUAGAGUAUGAUAGAGGAAAGCAGAAUUUCUAGUGUAGAGGUGAAAUUCGUAGAUAUUAGAAAGAAUACCAAUUGCGAAGGCAGCUUUCUGGAUCAUUACUGACACUGAGGAACGAAAGCAUGGGUAGCGAAGAGGAUUAGAUACCCUCGUAGUCCAUGCCGUAAACGAUGUGUGUUAGACGUUGGAAAUUUAUUUUCAGUGUCGCAGCGAAAGCGAUAAACACACCGCCUGGGGAGUACGACCGCAAGGUUAAAACUCAAAUGAAUUGACGGGGACCCGCACAAGUAGUGGAGCAUGUGGUUUAAUUCGAAGAUACGCGCAGAACCUUACCAACACUUGACAUGUUCGUCGCGACUUUAAGAGAUUAAAGUUUUCGGUUCGGCCGGACGAAACACAGGUGCUGCAUGGCUGUCGUCAGCUCGUGUCGUGAGAUGUUGGGUUAAGUCCCGCAACGAGCGCAACCCUCACUUUUAGUUGCCAUCAUUUAGUUGGGCACUCUGAAAGAACUGCCAGUGAUAAGCUGGAGGAAGGUGGGGAUGACGUCAAGUCCUCAUGGCCCUUACGUGUUGGGCUACACACGUGCUACAAUG